RNAcentral lists this transfer RNA (67 nucleotides) under Ramisyllis kingghidorahi. Its description in RNAcentral is "Ramisyllis sp. k GPS-2021 tRNA-Ala". Lineage: Eukaryota; Metazoa; Annelida; Polychaeta; Phyllodocida; Syllidae. The record is from RNAcentral.
AGGAAUUUUAGUUUAAAAUAGAACAUAUAAUUUGCACCUAUAAAGAGGACCCUAAACCAAAUCUCCA